Molecule: ribosomal RNA, 450 nt
Filed under: uncultured bacterium
Lineage: Bacteria
Description: partial 16S ribosomal RNA
Rfam family: Bacterial small subunit ribosomal RNA
Source: RNAcentral
GUGGGGAAUUUUGGACAAUGGGCGCAAGCCUGAUCCAGCAAUGCCGCGUGCAGGAAGAAGGCCUUCGGGUUGUAAACUGCUUUUGUACGGAACGAAACGGUCCGGGUUAAUACCCUGGGCUAAUGACGGUACCGUAAGAAUAAGCACCGGCUAACUACGUGCCAGCAGCCGCGGUAAUACGUAGGGUGCAAGCGUUAAUCGGAAUUACUGGGCGUAAAGCGUGCGCAGGCGGUUUUGUAAGACAGGCGUGAAAUCCCCGGGCUCAACCUGGGAAUUGCGCUUGUGACUGCAAGGCUGGAGUGCGGCAGAGGGGGAUGGAAUUCCGCGUGUAGCAGUGAAAUGCGUAGAUAUGCGGAGGAACACCGAUGGCGAAGGCAAUCCCCUGGGCCUGUACUGACGCUCAUGCACGAAAGCGUGGGGAGCAAACAGGAUUAGAAACCCUAGUAGUCC